UGUAAAGAUAAAAAAAUAAAAAUAAUUAACAGGUGUUAUUGAUCCAACAGAUUUGUUUUCAUUGUCCCAUAUGUAAAAUGAAACAUCCUACAUCUCUGUUUUAGUAAAAAAAAAACAUGAUUUUUACAAGAAAUAAUUCAGUAAUGAUUGUCAUCAUUAUGAUUAUGAAAGUGUAACUUUGUGCCAAAGCAUUUUUUAUUACCUUGACACUGUUUCCAAAUGCAAAG
Molecule: long non-coding RNA, 227 nt
Filed under: Mytilus galloprovincialis (Mediterranean mussel)
Lineage: Eukaryota; Metazoa; Mollusca; Bivalvia; Mytilida; Mytilidae
Source: RNAcentral